AGGACGAACGCUGGCGGCGUGCUUAACACAUGCAAGUCGAGCGGUAAGGCCUUUCGGGGUACACGAGCGGCGAACGGGUGAGUAACACGUGGGUGAUCUGCCCUGCACUUCGGGAUAAGCCUGGGAAACUGGGUCUAAUACCGGAUAUGACCUCCUAUCGCAUGGUGGGUGGUGGAAAGAUUUAUCGGUGCAGGAUGGGCCCGCGGCCUAUCAGCUUGUUGGUGGGGUAAUGGCCUACCAAGGCGACGACGGGUAGCCGACCUGAGAGGGUGACCGGCCACACUGGGACUGAGACACGGCCCAGACUCCUACGGGAGGCAGCAGUGGGGAAUAUUGCACAAUGGGCGAAAGCCUGAUGCAGCGACGCCGCGUGAGGAUGACGGCCUUCGGGUUGUAAACCUCUUUCCAGUCGAGGACGAAGCGACAAGUGACGGUACCUGCAGAAGAAGCACGGCUAACACGUGCCAGCAGCCGA
This 475-nucleotide ribosomal RNA is filed under the name uncultured soil bacterium. Its description in RNAcentral is "bacterial SSU rRNA". It matches the Rfam family "Bacterial small subunit ribosomal RNA", at positions 26 to 518 of the family's 1533-position model. The record is from RNAcentral.